Molecule: ribosomal RNA, 275 nt
Filed under: uncultured bacterium
Lineage: Bacteria
Description: partial 16S ribosomal RNA
Rfam family: Bacterial small subunit ribosomal RNA
Source: RNAcentral
CCUACGGGGGGCUGCAGUGAGGAAUAUUGGUCAAUGGGGGCAACCCUGAACCAGCAACGCCGCGUGAGGGAUGAAGGGGCUCUGCCCUGUAAACCUCUGUCGGACGGGAAAAAAGAGAUCUUCUGGGUCUCGGGAUUGUACCGUUAGAGGAAGCGCCGGCUAACUACGUGCCAGCAGCCGCGGUAAUACGUAGGGCGCGAACGUUGUCCGGAAUUACUGGGCGUAAAGGGUGCGCAGGCGGCUUCGCGCGUCAGAGGUUAAAUCCCGCGGCUCAA